UGCGCGCGCAGCUGGCUGCCGCUACCGAGCGCGCGCAUCGGUUGCACGCUGCGUUGGCUAGCCAGGCGCCUAAUGAUUACCAAAUGACAGAUGAGUACUUCAUCAAACCGGAAGGGGAGCUGCCUAUACAGGACCAACCAAGCAACGGAGGGUGAUCGACUCGACGAGUGAACUCAAACCGACUACCGCUCACGCGAUGACCACGACUAACCACAGUAUACGCGUCACUAACCUGGCAAGUCCAACGCGACUAAACCACGAUAGAGCUAAAACCAUCCAGUUUUAUCAAAAUCGAUCAAGCAUUUACGCAAAAAUCAUCAGUAACGAUUAGCAAAUCGACAACCAUUAUAGAAACUGUAUAUUUUGUAAUAAUUGUUUUUUUUUUUCGUUAGCUUUACCAACUUGUAAGUACGAAUCUAAUGUAGUAUUAAAAAUAUAUGUUAUUAUUCCAUACGUAAGUUAAUGUGAUCAUUUGUAAAUGGACAGGUUAAGAGAAAAUGUAUUUUUUCUUCGUAACGAUAUAUGUAUUUCAUUUCUAUAUAUUUUUCUUAUUAAUUUGAGUGUUAGAAACGUUGUAAAUAACUAAAAAAGUAAUAAAGUCACUCUUCCUGUUAUGUAUAUUUUUUUGUAUAAAAAUACAGCACUUCGAAAAUGUAUAUUGAUCUUUGAAAGUAUUAUGUAUGACAAUAUUGUUGAUUGCAAACAAAAUGUUGAAUCCGCGACGACAUUUCUGUUUAUGGAUGAGAUUGUCUUUCGUCAAGAGUGUUUGAACCUAAUAUACAUGAAUUAAAAUAUACUUCAUCUUAUACUUAGAUAUAUAAAUUUGAAUGUCUUGCGAACGGUGUGUAGUGCUUUUAAUAGCAUCUCAUAACACUCUUGACUCGAAUAUACGAGAUUAAUAUGAUCUUCUAUGUAUAAUAUGUGCAUCUGACGUGAUUGGUCAUUAUAUCGUUCACAAUACGACAACGUAGUACCAAACGAGCUGUAGAGGCAAAGUAGGAGACAGCUAAAUAAAAAUAAGGGAAAAAAUACAUAAAUUAGUUGGAAACGUAUAAAAAAAUAAAUAAAAAUAUAUAGCAAAGUAGUGAUCUAGUUUGUGAUGACUUUUCGAGUACACUUAUCGCUUUUUAUAUAAAAACCAGUAACAUAAGUAUUAUUAAUAAUAAUCACAUGUUUAAAACUUGCAUAUAACUUUUGUAGUUAUUUUUCUCCAAUAAUAAACCUAAUUUGUUUCUACAGUUCUGUAUUAUUAAGCUGUAAGUAUAUACGGAUUAAUAUAUAAAUGUAUGUUUAACACAAAGUGCCCUAAGACUAUAGUACCUUGAAUCAUGCCAUAUUUAGUACAGAUAUAGCAGAGCGUGUUAACUGGACUGUAUAAGCCGUUUAAUAUAUAAUUUAUACAGGCAUUCUUAUAUCGUAUACGACUUUAAAUGUAUAAUUAUAAAUGUAAUACAUAUAAACUUCACUUUUAUGAUACGUAUAUUAAUGAAAUCAUAUUCAUAAAAUCCAUUCUCCUGAAAUAAUUCAAAAGUAAAAACUUGCUGGUUUAAAUAUCUUUUUAAAUACAUUAAUCAUGGUAAGCAUUAUCGUUUUGUACUAGUUUUUAUUUACGCCUGUAUAAUUAUGUUGAGACAUUAUAUUUUGAACAGCUUGUAUAAUUUACCAAAUGUAAAACAUGUACCUACUGUAAGAUAUCGCCAUUUUAGCAGCGCAACGUUUUAUAUAAAUAUUAUACACGUUUAAUAUGUGCAUUAUACAAAUAUAUAUUUUAUACAUUAGGCUAGGUUUAGACCAAAUGAAUCCCAUCCAUUUUCGUCUGCGUAUUUGUAUAUUUAUAUAUAUCGUGAGCUUUCAUAGGUUCUUUUUAUUGUAAAAUCGCUUGUAUCUACGACUGUAUGGCAAAUAUCACAUUUUAAACAACUACGCUGUUUAUCAGUUGUUAGCUUUUGUAAAUUGUAAUAUAAACCAUGUGCCUUUUUAUUUAUUUAAAGUUGAAUCAUUAUACUUUAAUCGAUUCGAAAUUAUUUAAGAAUAAGUUUUGUUUUAUGAUUUUAAAUGCGUGUAAAUUACCCUUAUAAUAAUUUGUUAUAAUAUUUCUUUAAAUGUUUUCUUAUUUUAUAUUUUAAUAAUGUGAUAGUUGUCAUUUCAGUUUAUAGGAUUUGAUGGAAUAACUAUUGCCCCAACCAUUCGGAUAUGUAACGCACCAAUCGCUAACUUCGCUUCAUACAAUAUAUAAAUUAUAUGACAUGUAUUGGAAGUCACCAAAACUUAGUGAAUUGUAUAUUAUACUUAUAUAACUAAUAUAAAUUGUUUAUUGUAUCCAAGAAUAUGUGCAAAAUGAGCUUUUACGUCUGUGUGGGGCGUUUAAACAUCAAGGAUCUUAAAAAUAGGGUCAAAUGCCCUGUUAUAGUCCAAGUGACCCGACAAUGGGUCUUCACAGUAGUUUAUUUUGCGCAUACUUUUGCAAUGACCCGAUGUAUUCCAUCGCUUCCUGCUCGCUUUAAUAACACUGCGUACGAGAAUAUGUAAUAAAUAGUUAGUGGUAUAAAAUAAAUACCGUUACAUUCAAAUGUA
Long non-coding RNA from Ostrinia nubilalis (European corn borer), 2574 nucleotides. RefSeq lists it as uncharacterized. The record is from RefSeq and is a predicted model, not a curated record. The transcript has 3 exons. NCBI's taxonomy places the organism in Eukaryota, Metazoa, Arthropoda, Insecta, Lepidoptera, Crambidae.